AAUUGCGAAGAUGGCAACACAAAGCUCGGUACCGUACUGGAAUUGCUGCAGUGGAAGGCAGAGAAUGCUGUGCCUGACAAAGGAUUUGAGAAGCUAUUGAAAAUAUUGAAGAAGAAGCUUCCAAAGGAUAACGAAUUGCCCGACAGUACAUACGCAGCAAAGAAGGUCGUAUGCCCUCUAGGAUUGGAGGUGCAGAAGAUACAUGCAUGCCCUAUUGACUGCAUCCUCUACCGCGGUGCGUACAAGGAUCUGAACGCAUGCCCGGUAUGCGGUGCAUUGCGGUAUAAGAUCAGACGAGAUGACCCUGGUGAUGUUGACGGCGAGCCCCCCAGGAAGAGGGUUCCUGCGAAGGUGAUGUGGUAUGCUCCUAUAAUACCACGGUUGAAACGUCUGUUCAGAAACGAAGAGCAU
RNAcentral lists this ribosomal RNA (411 nucleotides) under Triticum aestivum (bread wheat). RNAcentral describes it as "partial small subunit ribosomal RNA". Lineage: Eukaryota; Viridiplantae; Streptophyta; Magnoliopsida; Poales; Poaceae. The record is from RNAcentral.